AUGCCCGGUAUUAGACAAAUGCUAGUUUGCAUGCAUGUGAAUAAGUUAAGCAUUAACUAUAUUCUUAGGGGAGCAUGAGGAGUUUUCUGAUGGAUGGAAGCUCUAAAUAUAGACAGUGGAUCAUGUGAGAUUUUAUUUAUUUAUUGGAGAAUUUCAGGGAAGAAAGGCAAGCGAAAAACUAACAUGCCACACUGCCAGCUUCUGCUCUGCAGUCCUGACAGCUCCCUAUAUACAUGUGCUAAAUGGCUGCCAAAAUAUUGAAUGGAACAGAUGUUAAACCUGGCAUCUUCUCCUGAUUUUCAGAAUUUGCCUGACUGUUGAGAUGCACAAACAGACAGGGAGAAAGGCUGCACGCACACAGAGGAAAAUAUUGUCAUGGUGAAAUGGAAUGUCUGAACACCUAAAGCAGCUCAAGUGCACACUUUUUGCUUUGAGUUAAACCACCAAGAGCUUGACAGGUAAGAACGAGCAGGUGAGCAGGUGAACUCCUGACCUUUUCUUUCAGUGACCUGAGGAGCUGCAGAAAACAAAACUCAGAACCUGGUGCUCAUCUAAUUGGAAACCGGCUGAAGAGGCAACCGAUAUCCAGCAGUCAUCACACCAGAGUCAACUAAUUAGGUGCAUGACUCUAUGUCAGGGUAGAAAAAAACAAAAGGCUUGGUCUAGCCCAUUUGCCAUUCUUGUUCAGUGUAAAUUCUCCAUGGAAAAACAAACACAUAGCCUUCCUUAAUGUAUCUCCUGGCCUGAGGUUGAAAGCCUUGACCUAACAUUGUCUUUGUGACUGGAUAGAUUAGCAACCUGACUAUUGCACCCCCAUGAACCAUAAUCAUUAAAAACACAAUUCAAAGCUUUGUUUUCCUGAAGCUGCAGGAUUUCCUAAAUGUUUUGUUUGUAUAUUUUUAUUUGCUUCCUGUUUUUAGGUGUUAUUUAAUGACAUAGCUACAUGUUCUGUUGAAUGCUGUAGGAAUAACAACUCUUUAACUAUUUGUUCAUUUUAAACCACAAAAUGGACUGUUUAUGUUCUCGCUGUCCCUCCUGCUGCUCUUCCUUUAUCAUAUAUGCUUCUCCAGCAUAUAUAUUCUAUUCAGUAGGACCUUUAUUCUCCUGAUCACAGAGGGAGUGGAAUCCGUUCAACCUGAGAAUCCAAACCCCAGAAGGAGGAACCGUGAUGACUUGGCCUCUCAUCUUGAGCGAUAGGAGCUUCCUAGGUGCCCCACAAUCUUGACAUGCUUUUGAAGAGAAGCUUGAUGCUAGAGUACAUGUCACAAUCACCAAAUGAAUCAGUGCCCCCCAUGACAAGUUCUCUGCCCCCCCCCCAGUAACAUUUUGACAUUUAUGAGCACUUAAAACCUGAAGUCCACAGGCUGUGAAUAUCCCUGGUUCCAAAGCACACUAAUUUGAUUUCAUAGAAGGAACGCUGAAGGAAAUCGCCAUGGGCUACCUGGCACAUUGGGAAAUGUAUUUAGAAAUGCCCUGUGAAAGUGUUUCAGAGCUGCAGCAUUUCUCUUCUUUCCAGAACUGACAAAGAAACACCAGGGCACUGAGCCUGCAAUUUUAUUUUCUGAGUUAUAAUGUGUAAAGAAAACCACAACUUGAGUAUUCGUUUGGUCACCUGUAACAAAAUAAAAAAUAAAAAUAAGGUGCUAUGCUUGAAGGCCUAAUCAAGCUGGUCUGACAAAACCUUUCCUCUGAACACAUGUGUGGAGCUUUUUUGCUUCCCAUGGCAAGUAACAAAAAAAUAGGCUGAUGGGAGGAAGAGGUAAGUCAUGUCUGGAUCGGAUGCUGAGAAGUCAGAAUUUGAAAUAACUGAGAAGUGCCACACAGAAUUGGCAGAAUUUGGAAGAAGCCUUAGAACAGGCAUCCCCAAACUUCGGCCCUCCAGAUGUUUUGUACUACAAUUCCCAUCAUCCCUGACCACUGGUCCUGUUAGUGAGGGAUCAUGGGAGUUGUAGGCCGAAACAUCUGGAGGGCCGCAGUUUGGGGAUGCCUGCCUUAGAAGGACAAAAUGCCUGUUCAUGGGCAUAGGGAGUUAUAUAUUCAAUCUGGAUGGUCUGGGUAUGUAUGUAUGUAUGUAUGUAUGUAUGUAUGUAUGUAUGCAUGCAUUUCCUGCUGUUCCCCUACAGUCCCAGGGUGGGUUACACCAUUAAAACAACUUGCAAUCACAUUGACCAAUAUGGUGGCUAGUGAUGAUGCCGGUUGAGGAUGAUGGGAGUUGAAGGACACAGGUUCUCUAUCUCUGUACAGAGGCUUUCUAUACCAAUGGAAGGAGGUGCAGGCAGAAAUGGAGCAGUGCUAUAGGUACAUUUCUGAAGAUUAAUAUUGAGUAAUGUCUACUUUUUUACUUAUACCACACAUUUUUAACUGGUCACCAAAAAAAAAAAAGGGUAAGCAUUUCUCACAGACUGAGCAGUUCCCACUAUUGAUUUUCUGUUGGUAUUAAAAAACCAACAAGCCAGAAUUUUUUUUUUAAAUCGUUCCUAAAAGUGAGGGCUACACAGUGAUCAUGACAAUUAUGAUAAUAAGAAACCAACAGCAGCGGAAUAAUUAAAUCAAGAGAACAUAUUGUCUUUGUUAAUUAGUUGCUGGUUAUAAAUCCAAAGCUGUGUUUCUAUGCAUGUUUAAGUGGAAAGAAAUCACACAUCAAAUGAGGGUUUGCUUACAAACAUAUGCUUAUAUGUUCAAAUAGUUACCCAUCACGUUAGUGUGGCAGCACCUACAGUUUGGAACCCUUUGCCCAUUGACACUUGGCAGGUGUGUUUAUUGUGCUCUUCUCAGUGCCUGCUUGAAACACUUUUGCUUAGACCAACCUGUCUGGACGGGUGGAUGCGGACAUGUUUUAAUCUAUUUUACCAUUAAUUUUAAUUAUCUUUAAAUAUUUUUAACCAAUUUCAACAUUUACUGUUAAACCACCUAGGAGGUUUUAUUACAAUCAGGCAGCAUAUAAAUUUUAAAUAACACAUAUCAGGUAAGGGCCAUCGCUCAGCAGCAGGGCAUCUGCUUUAGAUGCAGCAGGUCCUGGGUUGACUCCCCAGCGAAUCCAGGUAGAGCUGGGAAAGAUUCCUGCUUGAAAACCCUGGGAGCUGAUCCAGUUAGUGCAGGCAUCCCCAAACUGCGGGCCCCCAGAUGUUUUGGCCUACAACUCCCAUGAUCCCUAGCUAACAAACAGGACCAGUGUUUGGGGAAGACGGGAAUUGUAGUCCAAAACACCUGGAGGGCCGAAGUUUGGGGAUGCCUGAGUUGGUGUAUACCAGUGUUUCUAGCUGUUCCCAGACUACAGUUCCCAUCAUCCUUGAUCAGUGGUCUUGCUAGCUAGAGAUGACGGGAGUUGUAGUCCAAAAACGAGUUGGAGACCCAAGUUUGGGAAACACUGGUGUAGACAUUACUGAGCUAGGAGAACCAAUGGAUCUGACUCUGUAUCAACCAGUUUCCAGUUGCUACAAUGAGUGAGAUAUUCAUCCCUUUGGGUGAAUCCUUGAGAAAAGAAUAGAUCUUAUAUUGUACCAAAAGUAGUGGAGAGAUCAGUUCCACAUGAGAAGUGAAUGACAUAAAAUUAGCAAGAUUAGAUGCCAGGGGCUAAAUCAACACAAUUAGAUGGAAGGGACUAAAAGGUCAGUGCAUUUCAAAAGGUUGAUAUUUAUGUUGAUGCUUUCCUGCUGAUGGACAUUGAAUGUGCUUUUGCUGCUGUCUAUUUUUACACUUACAUGGUUUUAGUCUGCUGAUCCUGCUUUUUCUCGCUCUGAUGAUUUUUUAGAAUUGUUCUGUUUUAGAUGAUGUUUCUUAUUAUUUUGUUAUUUGUAAUGUUAUAGAUGUUGCAAGGGGAGACUGUGGAAGGCAGUCUUUGUAAUGCGACAAAUAAUAAAUAAAUAAAUAAAUAAGGCAACUGGGUGGCAAAUACACAGCACAAACAUGCCUUUCUGAAGAACAGAAUUUGCUAAAUUUUAGGAGAGAUUGGUUCAUUCUCUCUUCUACCUCACCCUUGGCUGCACAGGAGAGAGCAUCCACAUUCUUCUCAGCUUUGAUGUUUUCCCCCUGACAGGCAUACUGCCAAUAGUUGCUUCUGGCACCACUUGGAUAGACACAUUGAGAUGCUCCUUGCCUGUGCAGCUUCCACACAAACAGUGGAAGAGGCCUACAGAGGUUUUCAGAGCUGUGUGGAAAGACACCUUGGCCCCAUCCUGACCUUUUCCAGCAUGGCAGAUCAGGGGGUUGAUUUGCUCUCUUAGACUCCUCUCCAUCAUUCCAUAUGGAGCUCUACUCUGCCUCUCUUUUCUCUCUCCUCUAUCCGUGAAGUUUAUGGUCUAGGUAACACAUGGGUGGUUUAAUGUUAUUAACCCUUUCUAUUCUGUAUGCUUCAGCAGUGGCAUUUCAAGCUGCAAAACCAUUUUGUUGCUUCAGAAAUCAUUUUAUGUUGGUGUGUGAUCACCUUCUUCCCAUAAUUUUAUUGCUCUCUCUCUCUCUCUCUCUCUCCCUCCCUCCCUCCCUCUCUGCAAAGUUGUGGUUAUUGCCAAAGCAGGCAAACUAAUACUGUUUCCAUAUUGGGCAGCUCUAUGCUUUCCAAAGUUAGCCAGGUAUCAUUAGCCAAUGCAGUUUUGUCUGUGUGUUCCCAAUGGGCUCCAGUCAAGAUCCCAAGAGUAGUAUUGCUAACACCACCACCCCAAAUUAGCUUCUCUGCCACUACAAGUGCAAGACAUGUGUUCAUGCAAAUGUGUACAGGCACGCUAGCAAACGUGACAACAGAAGGGAACACAGAGUUGUGAAUCCCAACCAGCCAGAAUGUUGUUCUCUCAGCUAGCUUCAGGAAUUCAAGGAUGUGAAGCUCAAAACAAAACAAAACAACAGAGCUAUGUUAAGCAUCAGCAAUAUUUGUCAUAUUGUAUACAUGCAUGUGCUAGGAACAUAAUAAUUUCCUUCGUAUUUCUGACCAAAGACCAUCUGUUCCAGUAUUGUAUUUCAGCUGUAGCUAGAUCCAGAGGGAAACUCAGAAUGGAUACCCCAUUUUUUUUUUGUUCUAGCACCUGGUGCCCAGAUUUAAGCUGUUAAUAGCCAUUGACAGGCAUUUUCCAUGAAUGGGUCUAAUUCAUUUGCUGGGUGUAUGUAAGGAAACUGACACUGGGGACAGUGCGGAAUCAGAAGUCACGGUGUGUAUCUCCCUACCUGUGCAAUGCAGGGAUGGGGAACCUGAGGCCAUGCACUCCUUGUUGGACUACAAGUACCAUCAUUCCUAACUAUUGGAGAUGGUGGUUUGUGCUGAUGUGAAGUUUAAUGUUCCCCAUCCCUGAUAUAAUGAAAUAGGCUGCUUAGUAGGUGCCUCAAUAAGCUUUAAUCAGUUAGCAAGUCAGGGACGGACCACCUCCGGGAAGGGCUUUUCCAUCUCCCCAUCCCUAGAGUGAUCUACCAUCAACCGUUCUAGUCUGAGUAAAUGUUGGUUCCGUACAACUCAAUGUGUUUUAAAGUUUCUUGUAAGCUACCUCCUUAUAAGUAUUGUAUGCCAAACAGAAUAUACUAGUAGGAUCUAUCAUGGUAUCAGAUCAGAUCAGAAUGGCAAGGUGGAUGCAAACUUUUCUCAUGGUGCAUACUUUUUUCAUAAUUAUAUGAAGCUAGGAAUAUCAUUAAAUCUUUCACCAUUUAAUGAAGGAUCUCUUGUUUCAGUAGCUUCAGGAAGCAGCUGCCCAUGGGAAAGAGUAAUUACUUUUAGUGAACCUACUACUGGUGACCAUAGCUGCCAAGUCUCCCGUAUUCCCCGGGAAACCCCGUUUUUCCAGCCAUUUCCCGCUGCCAGCCCGGAUUUUUUAAAAAAACCGUAAAUCCCUGGAUUCUUACCGGCCCGGGGAGGCUCCUUCUGCACAUGUCUGGAGUCUCUGGACAUGCGCAGAAGCGAUUUCUGGCGCUGCAGCCAUUUUGGAAAUGGGCAGAGCAUGCAUAGAAGUGACUUCCGGUGCUGCUCUGCCCAGUUCCAAAAUGGCCACAGUGUGACUUCCGGUGCUGCGCCGCUGCCGAUCCCAGAUUUUUCAAUCUGGGAGUUGGCACCUAUGCUCGUGACCAGCGAGUGAGUCUAUCCAAUGGCUAGUUUUUUCCUAGUAACCAUGCUGGAACUGGAGGUAACUCUCAUGUAACAAUGGCUGUCACAUAAAGCAAGCUCACCCAGCAAUGCCGGGGUUUGGGUCAAGUGACAUUUGGCAAACUUAAUCAGUGUCUCAUUGAUUAUUUCAUCAAGAAAACUUUGCUCACACUGCAGCUAGAUUAUGAUGGAUGCACUAUGAAAAUACUUGUGAUGGAUUCCAGAGUUUAUUGGAGCAAAAACUGACAUGAAUGCAAUAUAGGGACCAUUUUCAAUGCACCUAAAUGGCUGUGUGAUUUUCAAUCAUGUCUUGCUCCCACAGCUGUCUCUGUUUAAUAAUAUUAAUCAUUUCUAUAGGACUUUCCAAUGUACAAAGUGUUGUACAGUUUUUUUAAUCACAUUUCUCAUUGUCCUGCCCUGAGGAAAUAUUGGAACCUGGAUCUCUCACAUCAGAGCUCAAUAAACUACCCACCACAACAUAUAGGGCAACAUAUAAAAAGUAACAAAUGAAUGAGUUGAGUACCUAAAUUAACCAGUGAGGUCCACAUAGCCACCUGUGGGAAGAGGUGUUCUUUAUCAUGCCACGUGUCCUGGGCAGUAGCUCAGGUCCCAAACUAGAAGAAGAGGAUCCUGACAGAUCAGAGUGACCAGCAUCAAAUGCCACAGAAGAGCUAGACCAGAGGGAACGCUGCAGACGCUGCGGCACUGAAACUCCCUUCAACAACUGACACCUAGUCAUGUAGUUUAGCCAAGGUUUUAGCAUUGUUCAAAUGUCCAUAUAAGCCAGGGCUCCAAGCAAAUUUUCCUAUCCACCAGCUUACCAAUUUAGCAUUCUGGCAGUUUAGCAACCCAAUGAGGAUGCAAAUCAUUCCUUCAGAAUGUUUUGAUUUCAUUUCUUCUUUUUUUCUUUUGUGAGCUUAGGUUAAGGGUAGAAACCUCCUUGUGUUCAACUGUUAGUACACAUCAGGUUCAUCAUUGCUCAGUACAGUCUCACUCGUCCCCUCGUCAUUCCAUUCACUCAUCAGCAACAGUACAUCACAAAUCACCACACCUGUCCACAGAAAUCAGAUUGGAUAAGCACAGAGGGAAUAUAAUAAUUUGAUUUUUCUGAAAAGCAUGCCCACUCAGAAGUCCCAUUAAGUUCAAUGGAGCUUACACCCAGGUAAGUGGGCACAAGACUGCCACCAUCAAUCCCUUAUGCAACUGUAUUGAACCAGAAAUAAGUGAAUAGGUUCUUUAUUUUCUUCCCCCUUUCUUUGAUACCCUUUUCUCUGACCUUGAGUUUCUUUCUUUAAAGAGAUCAACCCAGUUCCCUUUUCAUUAUAAACUGGGGAAAUCAAGCUUGUUUCAUGUGGGUUGUUUGUUAUUGCAUUGAUAGUUGAGGCUGCAGAAACAGAGUGGGGUUUAUUCUUAUUACAUGUCUGGUAUAUUGCUUUGUAUAGGAGGUUUCCAUACUAUCUGGAAGAUAAUGUCUGUGCGGGGUGGGGAUGGAGGACAUAGAAAGUUGUUUCACAGCAGCUACACAUCAACUUUCUAAUCCCAAUGUCCAUUGGAGAAAGAAUUAAACAUGUGUAAGUUUUUUUCCAAAUUUGUGUCUUUGGGUCUGGACCUCAUAACUUUUAAGUAAUGGGCCUGGCUGCAAGAAUUGGGCAGAAAGAGAAUUCCCAGCUCUUUUGCAAUCUAAUUGUAAACGUAAAGGUAAAGGGACCCCUGACCAUUAGGUCCAGUCAUGACCGACUCUGGGGUUGCACACUCAUCUCGCGUUAUUGGCCGAGGGAGCCGGCGUAGAGCUUCCAGGUCAUGUGGCCAGCAGGACAAAGCCGCUUCUGGAGAAACCAGAGCAGCACAUGGAAAUGCCAUUUACCUUCCCGCUGUAGCAGUACCUAUUUAUCUACUUGCACUUUGACAUGCUUUCAAACUGCUAGGUUGGCAGGAGCUGGGACCAAGCAAUGGGAGCUCACCCCAUCGCAGGGAUUUGAACCGCCGACCUUCUGAUCAGCAAGCCCUAGGCUCUGUGGUUUAACCCACAGCGCCACCUGCGUCCCAGGUAAUCCAAUUGUAACCCUAUGCUAAAAUUAUGUAAUGCAAGGAACAUGUUAUGUAGGACUGCUGAAGAUGCAAACAAAAAUAACAGGCAGUCCUUAUCAUUAGCUAGGAUAAGAUGGCAGUUUUCUGGUACCAUUUAAGGGUAGCAAACUGUCAAUUAUUUGGCUUGUUAUAAUAGCAUAAUAAUGUUUUUCCAUCACUGGAGGUACUUAUGCCCAUCUGUUGUCAUUUGGAUUUUCUGCUUAGGGCGCUGAUAUAUCUGUGACAGGAUUUAGUUUAGUUACUAGCCACUAUUUAAAACCUGUUUACCUUACAAGGAACCGUAUCUGUAGCAAGCAGUAACAUAGUGUGGAGUUGUAAUUUCUUCAUGCUGCUCUUCUUAUAAUGUAGUAAUGAUCACUCAUUACCAAUUUCCAACACAGUUCUGGAGAGGGUCACAGUGAACAUUCAUACAUUUUGCAAAGGCAUGGGGUCUAACAUGCCGUGUUUUUCUUACCUUGAAUAUUGAUUGCCUUACUGUAAUGUAUGUUGGAGCCCUAAUAAGAAAAAAAAGGGGGGGACGGACUUGGAUGGUCUAUAGCAGUUUAUUAGUAAGGCUGAGAGGAAAUAAUGAAGCAGAGCAGAAAUAAUUACAGUUAGCACAUAUUUAAUUGAUGUGAGAAUGAUAGUAACACUGUGAAUAUUUGGACAGAUUUGUUAAAGCGUCUGGCACAAUUUCUCAACUCUCCAGUAGGGCUUUAAAUAAGACAUUUAAAUCGAAGCCUGCAUUUUUAACCCAUUGUAAACAAAGAAAAAAAAUGCAGAAGUGGGGAGGAGUCUCAGAAAUGUCCCUGUAACACUGCAGCAUUUAGAAUGCAUUUCUUGGAUCUUGCCUGUGUCUACUGCAUUUGUAAGGAUUUCCAAAGUGUAUCACCUGUGUCAGCAACAUGUAGCCAUGAACUGUCAGUAGUGGAUGCUGAGAAAUUGAGCACAAUUUACUAAGAGUGCCUCCAGGCCGUCACUAUAUUGUGGGAGGAAUUCAAGCACACGCCAGAAAUUAAGUUUUCUGCAAUUAAAGUGGACUAAAGGGCUCUAUUACCCUAGCACAACAUUUCCUUUUUCAAGGAUUUGCACUCAAGUGAGUGACAGGGAAAUGCAGUGAAAAGUGUGGGGUGAGCAAAUGAUUAGUGGGAAGACAUAUCAACAACCCUCAAGCAAAUCAGGACGGAUGCUCAUUGACAUAUCACUGCCUCCACAAACAAAUCAGAAUGAAUACUUGAUAAAGACCAGGCAUAGUUUAAUAAGGCACCUUCUGUUUUAACCUUUAAAUGUCUGCUGAAAAAUUUUCUGUGCCACCAAGCUUAUGCAAGCAGUUAAGAGCUUUGGUUUGUUGAAGACCUCUGGUUUUAGAAUUUUUAACGUGGUUUUUAAUUGUAGAUUUGUAUGGUUUUUGUAAACCACUUUGAUUUUUUUUUAAUGACUAGCAGUAUAUAAGUACUUUUGUAUAAAUAAAUAAGCAAGUUUUGCAUAAGCAAAUCAGGAUGAAUGCUAGAUAAACAGGUCAACUGAAGGAGUCCUAACGGGAAAUCACUCAGGAUAUUUAGAAUAUUUUAAAUAUGCACCUAAAAAUGUUAAUUAUUUAGAGAUAUACUCAUGUGAGGCCUGCAGGUAUCUGCUGGGUACACUCUGUGAUACGAUUUGCUUUGAUUUGAUGUGUGAAUAGGACUCUUCUGUACAAAAAGCAGAAAUUUCAAAUGCAAGGUAAUGUCUAUCCUCAUAACAACCUGUCUAUGCACUGAGGUCAUCAUUAGAGGCUCUCAUCCAGAUGCCCUGUCAUCUGUGAGUCCACCUUGCACGUUUUUGCUUGUGCAUAAUACAUUGACACGAAGAGUCAGACACGACUAAACGACUAAACAACAAACAAAUACAUUGACCACAACUGUGUUUCAAUAUGGGUGUCUUUCUAUAACAGAGUUGCGGAUAUUGUGGAGGCUACAUAAACAUAAUCAAAGUAAUGGUAAAAGGUUUCAUCUAUACACUAACAGGAUGAUAAAGGUGUCACGUCAGAGAGAUAAAGACAACACAAGCAGUGGAAGCAAACUGGGAGGGGGGGACUCCAUUCAUAUUUUUUAAAACAUACACAGAACAACUCAGUUUUACAAUUUCUCUCUAAAAUUCUGGCUAAAAUGGCAGUGAGCAAAAUAUCGUUUGCAAAUGAAAUACAUUUCAGAGUUGUUUAGACGUUUAGUCGUGUCCGACUCUUCGUGACCCCAUGGACCAGCACACGCCAGGCACUCCUGUCUUCCACUGCCUCCCGCAGUUUGGCCAGACUACAUUUCAGAGUACAAAACAGUAAUUCUACAUAUCUUUCACAGUCUUUGAUGAAAGGGAUUAUACAUACAUAUAUAUUUCUUCGAAAGUGCUGCAUUUAUUCCAAUGUCCAUUUCAUGCUAAGGCGACUUUCACCAUUAUAACAUAAUUAUAGAAGAACAAGAAAUCCCUUAUUGAUGCCAAGAUCUCAUUUAAGUGUUUACAUGUUUCCCAGUUAGAUUGCACCUUGUAUUUGAUCUGGCUUUUGUUGUGGUUACUGAUAGUUAUCCUAUCUCACUAAUGCGUUUACUGAAAUCUCAUUACUGGAAGUGCAUUUGUAAGAAAGCUCUGAAAGAAGGCAUAAGCCCCUUGAUUUGUACAGACAGCAAGUGUGACAAACAACUUAGAUAAGCAGCACAAAGGGAAAGAUCCAGAAAAAAGAGGUCUAAAACAGGCAUCCCCAAACUUGGCCCUCCAGAUGUUUUGGACUACAAUUCCCAUCAUCCGUGACCACUGGUCCUGUUAGCUAGGGAUGAUGAGAGUUGUAGUCCCAAAACAUCUGAAGGGCCGCAUUUGGGUGCCUGGUCUAAAAUGUUAUGCACCAAAAUGCUUGCAUGGAGUAGGAUAGCCAUUUGCCCUACUUUGCAGAGUACGACCUCCCAUUUGCCACAGGACAGUCCUCUGUUUGAAGGGCUAACAAGAUCAAUUCAAAGGCAAAGCACCCUAAGGAGGAGGAUGUUCUUCAGAAGUUGUUCCCUGAUAGCUACCUCAUGGACAAGAGGCUGAGCAAGCAGUCAAUUCACAUAGUCACAGUCUUUCUCACAAUGGCAUAUGUAUAUGUCUAUUUAAAUUAUAGCAAUUAUUUCUAAAUUAUCUCCACAUCUAAAUUAGCAUCUGCAGAUAUUAUAAAAAAACGGUGUGCCCUCCUUCAUCCCUCAUUUUGACAGUGAUAAGUGGCCACCUUACUUCUAUGCCAGAUGGGGAAUGGGCUACAAUGAACUACCGUACCCCUGAGGAUAGGUGAGGAGUUUUGAAGCUGAGAUUAAGUUUACUAUUUUCAUUCCUGGCACAACUAUACAGAGCUGCUGUGGUUUUUAAACAAUAUUUUAAUCUUACAGCCAACUACUGAUAGCAUCAGCAUUGGAUUACAUCUCGUUUGCAAGGAGAAAUUAUCUCGCUUGCAACAGGCAAAGCUGUUUCAAAGCAAAAACCCUUGCUUAUCAAAGUGUUAGUAUUCUGCUUUCCUUUCUCACUUGUGUGGUCUCCUCACACACACCCCAAACGGUGAGGUCAGAAUUGUGUGAACUUUACAUGGUUAAUGAACCUUUUACAAAAGCAAAUGCAACAAAGCAAUCACAAGCUGCUCACAGCUGAAAGCAAAACCAUAUAAGUGGGAAUACCAAUAAGUAAGAAAUAACCACUUCUCUUUGAAAAGAGGCCAACCAUUUCUCUUUGAAAAGCACGCUGGAAAUGUUUUGGGAACAUUUAUUUGUCCUAAAGAAGUAACUAUUUUUUUUUUCCUGAAAAGAAGGACUGGAAAAGCUCUGUUGAGAACAGGGAUGUUGGAAGGCAUCAAUUUCCAUUCUGCCCUGUUUCUGGGGGGGAAACAAACCCUAUCCUAUUAACCGGGAUCAGGACACUGGAAGAAUAAGCAAACAUCAGCAAUUUCUGCUCCUGUUUCCCCUGGAAUUCUCUAACAUCCGAAGUUGGGAAGAGAAGCAAGAUGCGAGGUUAUUAGUUCAGGGGCUU
This is a long non-coding RNA of Zootoca vivipara (common lizard), 12142 nucleotides long. RefSeq lists it as uncharacterized. The record is from RefSeq and is a predicted model, not a curated record. NCBI's taxonomy places the organism in Eukaryota, Metazoa, Chordata, Lepidosauria, Squamata, Lacertidae.